This 1082-nucleotide long non-coding RNA is filed under the name Homo sapiens (human). RNAcentral's name for it is "HSALNT0363073". The record is from RNAcentral. Lineage: Eukaryota; Metazoa; Chordata; Mammalia; Primates; Hominidae.
GAGGGGGCGGUCCCACGCGUUUCAAGCCCAGCGACCCGAAAGACACGCCCCACACCCAAACGCAAGAGCGAUCCCGCCCUCCCAUUGGCUAAGGCGCCACCGUGACCCCGCCCCAGAGUACUACAGCAGGCGCUCAGGGGGCUGGGCCCGCCUCCGGGAAGGAGCCUUAAAGAACCAGCUGCCCGGUGGUGUCCGCGCCCAGUCCCCCAGAGUGGUCGUGCAGGUAUACGUUAGAAAUUUUAUUCUCUGGAGGUUGGGGCGGACUGAGAGCAGGUCUGGGGUCAUCCCUUCUCCGGCUCCUCCUGGUUGCCUUCUCGGAUCGGACUCUCCUGCUUCCGAAUCUGGUCUGGUUGCCUCUUGCUUGGCCGCGAGGAGCCCCGACGACCGAACGUGGAUAGUCGCCGCCACAGCACGGGAGGUCCUCACAUCUAUGCCCUUGGCUCCCACAUUCCCGGGCCCAACUGCUCACCUCCCAGUUGUCCCUGCCUGACAAGAGGAGGCAGUUCAAUUGAGACUUGAGAUAAACCUGCAAAAGAUGAGGGACCUUAAGGAGCCAGGCAUGCUGAGACAGAAACAUGAACGGAGGGCACAGGAGGCGGGGCCUCCACAAGACCAUGAGUUGGAGGUGGGAGAGACAACUUACCUUAUGCUCCAGACCCCGUGGAUUCUGGAUCCUGUGUAUCCUCAAGACUCUGUCCAAGCCACAGGAGGCUAGUAGAGGCUUUGAAGGGUGGCACUGCAACCCACGCACACUGCCUGCCAGCCCCUUCAGACAGCCCAGUAGACGCCCUAGAGAAGGGGGGAAGCAUCCGUGAUAACUGGCUGGCCAAUAACCAACCAUUCAUUGUUUCCUGUUCCAAUCACUUUCCAUUUCAACAUUUAAUCUGCAACAAAACCCUGAGACUGGAGCUUCUACUAAUAUUUCCAUUUCGCAGGUAUGAACUACAUAAGGCAGAAACCCAGGUCCCUGUCACCCAUUCAAAGCCGUGUCACUAAGAGUUUGCCUGUCGCCAUCAUUCCAGUAUCCUCAGGGAGCAUCAACGCUCUCCCUUCGGCCCUGAGUUUAGCGAGGGGAUUGGUCU